Long non-coding RNA from Prunus dulcis (almond), 449 nucleotides. RefSeq lists it as uncharacterized. The record is from RefSeq and is a predicted model, not a curated record. Lineage: Eukaryota; Viridiplantae; Streptophyta; Magnoliopsida; Rosales; Rosaceae. The transcript is spliced from 3 exons.
UAGAGUCACCAUAGAUAAUAUCCAGGCCCUACGCAAGCACGCUUGGAGCAGAAACCAAGCUGACGAGAAAAAUCAAGAGACACGAAGCAAGAGAAUCAAGCAUCCAAGUUGAAGAGGAUGAUCCUCCAUCGCAAGAUUUCUAUGCGAAAUAGGUUUUUAAUGGAGUAGUCUUGUUCGCUUAUGCCAGCCUUGAUGUUGGACCAUCUGCUGUACUUUGGAUUUAACAUCUUUCGUGGUGUUUGUUUUACUGUCAUGGAACUUCUCAUUCAAGUGAUCAUGUUUGUGGUACUUUUUGGGUUGGAUAUAUACUUUUAUGUUUAGAUGAUAGUUCUUAGGGCCAACUUGUGCAAUUUAUUGAAGUUAAUAAUCAAUUUAAGGACCACUUGCUCUCAAGCAAUUCUAUGUGAAAAGGCUAUUUGAAUACAUUUGAUAUAUGACGGUUUAUACCA